This 580-nucleotide ribosomal RNA is filed under the name uncultured fungus. Its description in RNAcentral is "eukaryotic LSU rRNA". The stretch from base 180 to 333 matches the Rfam family "5.8S ribosomal RNA". Lineage: Eukaryota; Fungi. The record is from RNAcentral.
UGACCUGCGGAGGAUCAUUAACGAAUGCGAGUCGGUCGACCGUGCUGGCGGAAACGCAUGUGCACGUCGGUCGCAAAACAUCCACACACCUGUGAACGUAUGGCCUUUGAGUCUUUCGACUCGGGGCAAACCAUUUUUACCCACUCUGUAAAAGAAUGUUUAAAACGCGUAAAGCAAACAACUUUCAACAACGGAUCUCUUGGCUCUCGCAUCGAUGAAGAACGCAGCGAAAUGCGAUAAGUAAUGUGAAUUGCAGAAUUCAGUGAAUCAUCGAAUCUUUGAACGCACCUCGCACCCUUUGGUAUUCCGAAGGGUACACCCGUUUGAGUGUCAUUGUAAUCUCACCCCAAAAUUCUUUUUGGGUGUGGGCUUGGAUGCUGCCGAUCCGUCGGCUCGUCUGGAAUGUCUCAGUGUACCCCGCUCGUCGGCGUAAACAGUGUGAUAAGUAUCUUCACUGGUCAGCCUCUCCGGAGGCGCGCUUUCAGGUGGGCUCCUGCACUUACAACCGUCUUCGGACAAAUCUCUGACAAUUUGACCUCAAAUCGGGUGGGAUUACCCGCUGAACUUAAGCAUAUCAAUA